This 484-nucleotide ribosomal RNA is filed under the name uncultured bacterium. Its description in RNAcentral is "partial 16S ribosomal RNA". It matches the Rfam family "Bacterial small subunit ribosomal RNA", at positions 30 to 507 of the family's 1533-position model. The record is from RNAcentral.
AUUGAACGCUGGCGGCAGGCCUAACACAUGCAAGUCGAGCGGAAGGAGGGAGCUUGCUCCUGGAUUCAGCGGCGGACGGGCGAGUAAUGCCUAGGAAUCUGCCUGGUAGUGGGGGAGAACGGCCGGACACGGGCGCUAAUACCGCAUUAGUCCAGAGGGAGAAAGGGGGAGAUCUUCGGACCUCACGCUAUCGGGUGAGCCUAGGUCGGAUUAGCUAGUUGGCGGGGUAAAGGCCUACCAAGGCGACGAUCCGUAACUGGUCUGAGAGGAUGAUCAGUCACACUGGAACUGAGACACGGUCCAGACUCCUACGGGAGGCAGCAGUGGGGAAUAUUGGACAAUGGGCGAAAGCCUGAUCCAGCCAUGCCGCGUGUGUGAAGAAGGCCUUCGGAUUGUAAAGCCCUUUUGGUUGGGAGGAAGGGCAGUAAGUUAAUACCUUGCUGUUUUGACGUUACCAAAAGAAUAAGCACCGGCUAACUUCGUG